UGCCCUGGGCAAAGGGAUGCGCCACGAAUUGCUGGACGACCAGGUCCCUUUGGAAUCGGCGAGCAGACUUGCGGGGCAAACUGCGGGUUCCAGUAGCGCAGGAGGACCAUAGGGUCCCCACUGCGCGGGCUAUGAAUGUCGCCGUGUGGAAACCGGGGACCUUCUGACCGCUUGCGCGGAUCCCCCGCUCGGGAGACCUCAAUUCACACCCCCUGUCCCGCGCCAGCUGCCUGGGAGAUCUUCCCCAAACCCGAGUCAUUCUUUGCAAGCGGACGGGGCUCUUUCCCUGCGCACGAUUGCAGCUUUUGAAACAAAAGGCCGCGAGCUCGGUUGCGCGGGGCGGUGCAAGUCUCGUUUCUUUUUCUAGGACGCCACGGAGGUUUCUCCGCGCUCCCGGACGGAGGAAAGAUGGCGAGGGGGAAAGGAAAGGAGGAGAAUGAGGCCCAAAGUCACCUCCAGGGACGGAAGAAGAUGCUUUAGGAUCUCGAAAGGAGGACGCUACGAAGGUUUCUCCGCGCUCCUGGACAGAGGAAAGAUAGCGAGGGGAAAAGAAAAGGAAGAAAAUGAGGAGAGGGGCAGAAGUAACCUCCGGGGGCUGAAGAAGGGAGAGAGACAAGUUGCAGCUUAAACAUUUCUUUCCGGAGCAGCUCCAUCUGUCGCAAAAAUAAUAUAUUAUUUAGGAGGAGCGCUGUAGUGUUGAAAUCCAGUGGACUUUGAAUCCAGCAGGGCUUACUUCGGAAUAACCAUGCUUUGGAAUGGGACGGACGGACGUCUACAUGUGGUUACAUAUAAACUGGAUGUCAAUCGCUACAUGCAAAACGAUGCCUCCGUAUCCUAAUCGACAUCUAAAGGGAAGUAAAUCGAAUUGAUUUCAGUCAGUCAAGUAUUUACUGUAAGGUCUCUGAAUGUGUGUGUGAGGACUAUUACGCCUCUAUUUUAAAAAAACAAACAAAAAAGUAGUAUGCCUGACCUCCUAUUGAGUCUUUGGUCCCCACCCCCCAUUUUUUCUCUCUCAUUCAUUCCUUUUUUAAUGUAACCGGUUUACGUUCCUUAGCCAAAAAGCGGUGUGCAAAUGUAUCGUUAUUGUCAAACGUGGAUCACAGGGAAAAGACGUGCAGCGCGAUCCUCAAAGCGCCCUCAUCCCAGCAAAGCUUAGCUGAACAGGCCAGCUUAGAACGCCUAAAGAAGUUUGCUAUGCAAUCCUAAAGAGAGUACAGCCAAUUGAAGCCCAUUCAUUCCAAUGGGCUUAAACUGGAGCAAUUCUGCAUAGGAUCGGACUGCUGGUUACGCCUCCUCUUGGAAGCGCUAGAAGCUGAGUAAAGUAACCAAGCGAAGGGAAUGAAAACCAUGCCAAAUACUUGUGUUUUUAAAAUAAUUUUUGAAUGACCAGGAGAAAGGGGUCAGCGGAUGUCUGGCGUGAGGGAGGAAGUCCAUCUUUGCCCAGGCUAGCAGUUGCAACUUUGCCCGGUACCCUCUUCAAGGGGAAGUUCUAACCAAAGCCGCCCUGGACUCCCUGGUUUCUUCGGGAGAAUUUAAGCAGGAAACUUCUCCCCACUCCCUUUGUUAAUACAUGCAAAAGUUAGCGAGAAUAACCUUCAUUUCAACAUCUCUCCAUAACCUAUGCUGGGAUUUUGGAGAAAAUCUCUUUUCCUUAACAGCCAAGGCAAGUUUCCCGAGUACAGUGAAACUUUCAGACCCCACCAUUGAACGCCCUUUGCUGUGAGGCUGAUUCCAUCUCAGAUUAGAGAAUCGAGGACAGGUCUAAUUUUUAAACAUAUUUUGCGAUGUUGAUUAUCGUUUCUUUAUGGAAUACCUGAUAGUCUAUUUAAACAAUUGACAGCUCAGCCAAUAGACUAUGACCUCGAUCCACAGUCAGGCCUGACGGAUCCUAAACUCACAUCCUAUGGAUUAAACAUUACCAAUCUUGCUGAUAUUAUUUCCGAAGUCCACACUAUUUAGGUACAUUCUGUAUUAAAAGCAACGAGUUGUGGUGAGUAGUUCUAUUGACUUCAGUGGGAGCCGCAAUAGGAUCCUAUCAGUGUUAACUGGGAAAAAAAAAUUCCGUUGUCGAACUGCUUUCAGUCACAGAUCAAAAGUGGGCGGGGGGGGAGGGAGUGUAGCUAAAAUGGCUCUGGGCGCAAAAUGAACUAACGGUUUUGAAUUUUUCCCCCGCCCCCACCCAAAUUUACUUUUAAUGUCGUGCUUCUUCUUUGCAGGCGCCCAGGACUCUGCAAGUGCGAAUGGGACUGGUAUUUUUUGAGGGGGUGGGAGGGAGGAUUCCCCCCACACUACUGUUCUGUCUCUGCCCCAAAGUGAGUUCCCAGGGAGCAUCAGCGGAAUGAAAUUGUGGAGCCGGUUGGAUUCUCUGGCCUUCACCUUCGAGAGUCACAGGUGGACACAAUUUUAAAGAAAUGGCUCUUCAGGUGCUUUUUACUUUCUUCAGAUAGAAAACCCCGUAAUAUUAUCUCUGUGUGUCGACCCCCCCUUUCUGCAGUCCAUUAAUCUUUCCCUCCCUCUCAAGGCCGCAAGAAAUUGAAACGCAAACAGCCACAGGGGCGCCUUUAGAAAGAGUUAGAAUGUCCUUCGCAGAAAGAGGCCUUGCCUUCUCAGUCAGAGCAGGGCUUUUUGGACCUCUACCCCAGAGGGCGGCAGCUGAGCAGUGGGGCUGGGAGCUCCUUUGCCAGAUGCCCUGGGAUCUCUUCUGCCUUCUUUGAGAUGGGUCCCCGUCCGCAGAGAGAGCUCAGGCCCUUGUCCAUCAACGGUAUUCUGAACUGUAACCCAGUCCCCAGUCUGUUCAGUGCUCAUUAAAGCAACUUGGUCUCUGACAAGUUCUGCUACAAUGGGGCCAUCAGAAGACAGCCACUCCCCCCACCCCCCUCUGACUUUGCUGUGCAUGUGUGAACAGCCCCUUAUGGAGAAGUUCCUAGGAGCAGGCACUUCAGGUCUCCUUUCCAAACAUGCUAGCUUCCAUGUUAAUCCCCCCCCCCUCUCUGUGGUGUAUGUGGACAGUUGAGGGCAUCACUGACCAUUCAAAUGGGGGGCGAUCACUGAAUGAACAAACGCCUCAGUUUGAAGGACUCUUUGGGCUACAGUAAAAGCCUCAGUAUUAUACAAAUACAACAGGACUUUAGAGCUGCGCAGGAAAGAUGUAGGAGCAUCUCCUGACCUUGACUACCGACUGUGGUACAAAUCCAGGAGCGAGAAACCAAUGUGAAUUUUUAAGGAGGCUGCCCACAAUCCUAGACCCACUUCUUUGAGAGUGAGUCUCCGUGGGAUUUACUGCCCUGAUUCUGGGUUUGGGAUGUACAUGGGGGAUGGGAGUGUACAGGUGAGUUCCAAGAAAGAUUCAGUGCUUUUACCUACUCGGGGAGAGAAGUAUUAAAUUCAGUAAGCAUUUUAUUAUAUUGGCAAUUAUACUGUUCUAGAUUUGCUCUAGGUCCAAGAAGAGGAAACCCAUGUGGAAUGUGAAUAAUGCAAAAUUUGGAAUUUAUUACAAUAAAAAUCGCCCCUUUUGACCAAGUUGAGCUGAUUCUGCAUGGGCCAAAAAAAAUGGUGUGAAAAUGGUGUGAAAACAGUAUAAACCCUUUUACACCAUUUUCACACUGUUUUCACACUGCUGUUUUUGGCCCAUGCGGAAUCAGCCCAAUAAGGAGGUCUGAAAGCCUUAUAAUUCUGUCACUGCCAAAAGGAGGGGGGAAAUAUGCCGGCAAUUCUCAUUUAGAGGCUCAUGCCCCACGGGUAAGACUGCUUGGCUAGGAUCUGGGAGACCCAGACUGUCUCCCCACUUUGCUGCGGAAGCUUGCUGGGUGAUUUUGUCCCAGUUACAGGCCCAGCCUAA
Long non-coding RNA from Sphaerodactylus townsendi, 3838 nucleotides. RefSeq lists it as uncharacterized. Lineage: Eukaryota; Metazoa; Chordata; Lepidosauria; Squamata; Sphaerodactylidae. The record is from RefSeq and is a predicted model, not a curated record. The transcript is spliced from 3 exons.